UACAGAGGGUGCAAGCGUUAAUCGGAAUUACUGGGCGUAAAGCGCACGUAGGCGGUUUUUUAAGUCAGAUGCGAAAGCCCCGGGCUCAACCUGGGAACUGCAUCCAAAACUGGCAAGCUAGAGUACGGUAGAGGGUGGUGGAAUUUCCUGUGUAGCGGUGAAAUGCGUAGAUAUAGGAAGGAACACCAGUGGCGAAGGCGACCACCUGGACUGAUACUGACACUGAGGUGCGAAAGCGUGGGGAGCAAACAGGAUUAGAUACCCCGGUAGU
RNAcentral lists this ribosomal RNA (271 nucleotides) under uncultured bacterium. RNAcentral's name for it is "partial 16S ribosomal RNA". It matches the Rfam family "Bacterial small subunit ribosomal RNA", at positions 524 to 794 of the family's 1533-position model. The record is from RNAcentral.